This 937-nucleotide ribosomal RNA is filed under the name Propionibacterium freudenreichii subsp. shermanii. RNAcentral's name for it is "bacterial SSU rRNA". It matches the Rfam family "Bacterial small subunit ribosomal RNA", at positions 545 to 1487 of the family's 1533-position model. Lineage: Bacteria; Bacillati; Actinomycetota; Actinomycetes; Propionibacteriales; Propionibacteriaceae. The record is from RNAcentral.
UCGGAUUAUUGGGCGUAAGAGCUUGUAGGCGGUUGAUCACGUCGGAAGUGAAAUUCCAGGGCUUAACUCUGGGCUUGCUUUCGAUACGGGUUGACUUGAGGAAUGUAGGGGAGAAUGGAACUCUCGGUGGAGCGGUGGAAUGCGCAGAUAUCGGGAAGAACACCAGUGGCGAAGGCGGUUCUCUGGACAUUUCCUGACGCUGAGAAGCGAAAGCGUGGGGAGCAAACAGGCUUAGAUACCCUGGUAGUCCACGCCGUAAACGGUGGGUACUAGGUGUGGGUCCCUUCCACGGGGUCCGUGCCGUAGCUAACGCAUUAAGUACCCCGCCUGGGGAGUACGGCCGCAAGGCUAAAACUCAAAGGAAUUGACGGGGCCCCGCACAAGCGGCGGAGCAUGCGGAUUAAUUCGAUGCAACGCGAAGAACCUUACCUGGGUUUGACAUGUACUGGAAGCGUUCAGAGAUGGGCGUGCCUUUUUGGCUGGUACACAGGUGGUGCAUGGCUGUCGUCAGCUCGUGUCGUGAGAUGUUGGGUUAAGUCCCGCAACGAGCGCAACCCUCGUCCAAUGUUGCCAGCAGUUCGGCUGGGGACUCAUUGGAGACCGCCGGGGCCAACUCGGAGGAAGGUGGGGAUGAGGUCAAGUCAUCAUGCCCCUUAUGUCCAGGGCUUCACGCAUGCUACAAUGGCCGGUACAAAGAGUUGCGAGCCUGUGAGGGUGAGCGAAUCUCAGAAAGCCGGUCUCAGUUCGGAUUGGGGUCUGCAACUCGACCCCAUGAAGUCGGAGUCGCUAGUAAUCGCAGAUCAGCAACGCUGCGGUGAAUACGUUCCCGGGGCUUGUACACACCGCCCGUCAAGUCAUGAAAGUCGGUAACACCCGAAGCCGGUGGCCCAACCUUUUGGGGGGAGCCGUCGAAGUGGGACUGGUGAUUAGACUAGUC